UGGGGAAUAUUGCACAAUGGAGGGAACUCUGAUGCAGCGACGCCGCGUGAGUGAUGAAGGAAUUCGUUUCGUAAAACUCUGUUCUGUGGGAAGAAAAGGACUGUACCAUAGGAGAAAGCUCCGGCUAAAUACGUGCCAGCAGCCGCGGUAAUACGUAUGGAGCGAGCGUUGUCCGGAAUUAUUGGGCGUAAAGGGUGCGCAGGCGGCUUUACAAGUUGGAUGUGAAAUAUUGUGGCUCAACCACAAACGUGCAUCCAAAACUGCAAAGCUUGAGUUAAGGAGAGGUAAGUGGAAUUCCUGGUGUAGCGGUGGAAUGCGUAGAUAUCAGGAGGAAUACCGGUGGCGAAGGCGACUUACUGGACUUAAACUGACGCUCAGGCACGAAAGCGUGGGGAGCAAACAGG
This 404-nucleotide ribosomal RNA is filed under the name Fusobacteriota bacterium. Its description in RNAcentral is "Fusobacteria bacterium partial 16S ribosomal RNA". It matches the Rfam family "Bacterial small subunit ribosomal RNA", at positions 355 to 776 of the family's 1533-position model. Lineage: Bacteria; Fusobacteriati; Fusobacteriota. The record is from RNAcentral.